This 460-nucleotide ribosomal RNA is filed under the name uncultured bacterium. Its description in RNAcentral is "partial 16S ribosomal RNA". It matches the Rfam family "Bacterial small subunit ribosomal RNA", at positions 338 to 795 of the family's 1533-position model. The record is from RNAcentral.
CCUACGGGCGGCAGCAGUGAGGAAUAUUGGUCAAUGGCCGAGAGGCUGAACCAGCCAAGUCGCGUGAGGGAAGAAUGUCCUAUGGAUUGUAAACCUCUUUUGUCAGGGAGCAAAGUCACCCACGUGUGGGUGUUGGAGAGUACCUGAAGAAAAAGCAUCGGCUAACUCCGUGCCAGCAGCCGCGGUAAUACGGAGGAUGCGAGCGUUAUCCGGAAUCACUGGGCGUAAAGGGCGCGUAGGCGGUAAUAUAAGUCAGAUGUGAAAGGUGGGGGCUCAACCCCUAGAGUGCAACUGAUACUGUAUAACUUGAGUGUGAGAGAGGGAAGCGGAAUUCCUAGUGUAGCGGUGAAAUGCGUAGAUAUUAGGAGGAACACCAGUGGCGAAGGCGGCUUUCUGGCUCAUAACUGACGCUGAGGCGCGAAAGCGUGGGGAGCAAACAGGAUUAGAUACCCCAGUAGUC